AUUGAACGCUGGCGGCAUGCCUUACACAUGCAAGUCGAACGGCAGCACGGGAGCAAUCCUGGUGGCGAGUGGCGAACGGGUGAGUAAUAUAUCGGAACGUGCCCAGUCGUGGGGAUAACGUAGCGAAAGCUACGCUAAUACCGCAUACGAUCUAUGGAUGAAAGCGGGGGAUCGCAAGACCUCGCGCGAUUGGAGCGGCCGAUAUCAGAUUAGGUAGUUGGUGAGGUAAGGCUCACCAAGCCGACGAUCUGUAGCUGGUCUGAGAGGACGACCAGCCACACUGGAACUGAGACACGGUCCACGACUCCUACGGGAGGCAGCAGUGGGGAAUUUUUGGACAAUGGACGCAAGUCUGAUCCAGACCAUUCCGCGUGCAGGAUGAAGG
Molecule: ribosomal RNA, 385 nt
Filed under: uncultured bacterium
Lineage: Bacteria
Description: bacterial SSU rRNA
Rfam family: Bacterial small subunit ribosomal RNA
Source: RNAcentral